GCCUGCCCUGUGACUAUGGGUUUAACGGCCGCGGUAUUUUGACCGUGCGAAGGUAGCGCAAUCACUUGUCUUUUAAAUGAAGACCUGUAUGAAUGGCAUCACGAGGGCUUAGCUGUCUCCUCUCCCAAGUCAAUGAAAUUGAUCUGCCCGUGCAGAAGCGGACAUAAGUACAUAAGACGAGAAGACCCUAUGGAGCUUUAGACACCAGGCAGAUCACGUCAAGUAAACUUAAAUUAACAAGUAGAAACGCAGUGACCCCUAGCCCAUAUGUCUUUGGUUGGGGCGACCGCGGGGGAAAAUAAAGCCCCCAUGUGGACUGGGGGCACUGCCCCCACAGCCGAGAGCUACAGCUCUAAGCACCAGAAUUUCUGACCAAAAAUGAUCCGGCGAACGCCGAUCAACGGACCGAGUUACCCUAGGGAUAACAGCGCAAUCCUCUCCCAGAGUCCCUAUCGACGAGGGGGU
This 465-nucleotide ribosomal RNA is filed under the name Salvelinus alpinus (Arctic char). RNAcentral's name for it is "partial large subunit ribosomal RNA". It matches the Rfam family "Bacterial large subunit ribosomal RNA", at positions 1857 to 2517 of the family's 2925-position model. The record is from RNAcentral. Lineage: Eukaryota; Metazoa; Chordata; Actinopteri; Salmoniformes; Salmonidae.